AUUGAACGCUGGCGGCAGGCCUAACACAUGCAAGUCGAGCGGAGCGGCGGACGGGUGAGUAAUGCCUAGGAAUCUGCCUGGUCGUGGGGGAUAUCGUCCGGAAACGGGCGCUAAUACCGCAUACUAUCAGAUGAGCCUAGGUCGGAUUAGCUAGUUGGUGGGGUAAAGGCCUACCAAGGCGACGAUCCGUAACUGGUCUGAGAGGAUGAUCAGUCACACUGGAACUGAGACACGGUCCAGACUCCUACGGGAGGCAGCAGUAGGGAAUAUUGGACAAUGGGCGAAAGCCUGAUCCAGCAAUGCCGCGUGUGUGAAGAAGGUCUUCGGAUUGUAAAGCACUUUAAGUUGGGAAGCGGUACCAACAGAAUAAGCACCGGCUAACUUCGUGCCAGCCGCCGCGGUAAUUC
This 407-nucleotide ribosomal RNA is filed under the name uncultured bacterium. RNAcentral describes it as "partial 16S ribosomal RNA". It matches the Rfam family "Bacterial small subunit ribosomal RNA", at positions 30 to 526 of the family's 1533-position model. The record is from RNAcentral.